UACCUCCACCUUCCGUACAUACAACAAACACUGGAAAAAAUAUGGGAUUUUUUUUUUUUUUUUUAAUGGUAUCGCAACCCUGGCGCAUUCAGCCAAACGAGUAAAACGGGGAAACGGAAUUAAAGGAUUACAUUAUAACGGAUAAGUCGGAAUUUGGACAAGGAUCAGCGAAAAUUAUAUUAUAAUAAAUUAUAAUUUUAUAUUAUGACGUUAAAGGAAUUAAUAUAAUGAUUUAAAUAUAUAUGGAGAAGAAUCAUUCAUUAAUAUUUGAUUAAUAUACAGGAGUGUUGUAAUAGAUGUGGGAAACGGAACUUUUAAAUCUGACAGCUGUCUUAAUAAUAUAGAACGAUCAUCCAGGUUACAAUUUACUACCUGAAAAGAAUAUAUGAUUAAGAUCAGCGGGAUCAGCUCCACAAAUACAUGCGGAACUGGCCACGCGAUUUUGUAGUUUCAGGUGUUCCGGUGUACACACGUGACCCAAUCUCAUUCGAAUUAACAUACUGGUUGCAGGCUUUGGCAAAGAGAUUUUAGCAAAUCAAGGAUUCCAAAGCACUCACCACUAUACACAGGAUUCUGGAGGCAAUUUUAUCUUUUGGAAAUACAUCAUCAGCUGCUUCUGUGAUCAUCCGGGCCAAAGCAACCGAGCAACAAACUACGUCAGUAUCAUUUAAACUAGGCAAAAACAAUAAUUUCUUCUCUACACAGCAUUUAAAGUUUUUCCAGUCAGCAUUACAUAGAUUGUAUUUAAGCCUAGGGCUAGGUUUCGGAGAUGGUCGCAUAGACGAAGAAAAUGAGACUAUAAUUGGAAAAUGAUCACUACCAAAUGUAGAAUCUAGAGUUUGCCAGGUGAAAGAAGAUGCCAGAUCAGCAGAGCAAAUGGAUAGAUCAACAGCGCUGGGUGAUUCUGUAGGCGCUGUACGGCGAGUUGGAGCCAGUAUUUAGGACACAAAGAUUGUGAUCAUCUAAGAUUUUUAAAACACGAUGUCCAUUAUAGUUGGAUACUG
Cydia pomonella (codling moth) is the source of this 1004-nucleotide long non-coding RNA. RefSeq lists it as uncharacterized. The transcript is spliced from 3 exons. The record is from RefSeq and is a predicted model, not a curated record. NCBI's taxonomy places the organism in Eukaryota, Metazoa, Arthropoda, Insecta, Lepidoptera, Tortricidae.